Molecule: long non-coding RNA, 761 nt
Organism: Canis lupus familiaris (dog)
Lineage: Eukaryota; Metazoa; Chordata; Mammalia; Carnivora; Canidae
Exons: 3
Source: RefSeq, a predicted model, not a curated record
CAUGCCUUGGGAGUCUAUGUGGUUGUGGCCUUUCACUGUUAUGACACUAACGAUGACCAGGAAAAGUGCCAAUGGCCUGGCACUCAGUGGAGUGUGCAACUAUUCAUCUUGGUGUUGUCCAGAGAGGCCACUGCAAUGUGCCCGCUCCAAAUGUAGGUUGGAGCACCCCCACCCCCCUUGCCUGUCCAGCUCUUCCAAGAAUCAUCAUCCAGGGAUCACUGAGAUCCUGCCGCAUGUUUAUUUGUACAAAUAGCGCAGGAGGACACCAGCCCCAUGCAGAUAGAAGCUCAUGGGUCACACCCGGCCUUCUGUCCUCACACUGGCAGACUGGAGCCUCUGCACUGGAGCCUUUGUGCAAAGGGGCCUGGGCACCUUUGGGAGCCUGAGCCGCAGCAGGAGCUGCAGCUGGAGUCACAGCUGUAGUCUGAGUCUUGUUUAAGCCUUGGUCUUGGACUUCGGACUCCAGAGCCCUGAGACCCUGGGCAAUGCGGCAACGAGCAGAUUUCCCAAGCUUGGGGUGAGCGAUGCAGGCAAGUUGAGCUUGCGGCUGCCACCCUUUGGGAUCUUGGGCUUGACCUCCUUGGGGACUCCUGGCCUUGGUGUUGUUGGCCUGCGUCUUCUUCAAAUCUUUCUUGUUGUGCUUCUGGGAAAAGUGCAUGUUCCUUAGGAACAUAGGAUCUGCCCUCUUAAGAGAAUCAUAUCUUCUUUUUUUAAAGAUUUUAGUUAUUCAGAAAGACACACAGAGAGAGGCAGAGACAUAG